Molecule: long non-coding RNA, 1864 nt
Organism: Bubalus bubalis (water buffalo)
Lineage: Eukaryota; Metazoa; Chordata; Mammalia; Artiodactyla; Bovidae
Exons: 3
Source: RefSeq, a predicted model, not a curated record
UUGGUGGAAGAAGCAUAGACUUGGGUACCAGGCUCUUGAAACUGUUCAUCUGCUUUUCUGAAGUUAAACUUCUUUAUUGCAUUAAGAAAGAAAAAGCUUAGUAAUACAUGACUGGUUAUUAGGGUGCCCUUUAAUAAAAAUCCAAUAGUGAAAAGGAGGCAGAUUUAGGACAUUUUAUUGAUGCAUAAAUAUGUUUCAAUGAUCUACUUCAAAUAUACAUUUUGAUGUGGCACUGUGUCAGAAUAACUUGAAAAUAUUAUGUUAAAUAUAGAUAUGCCAGAGAACUUGGGUUGACAUUGACUAUUUAAAGCAGUGAGACUGCUUGCAUUCCAGAGUAAAAGAACAGGAUGGUUUCAGUUGGUCUACAGAGAUGGUGGUGAUUGGGGGUGAGGAUGGGAGAUGUCGGUGGUGAUGGCUGUGGUGGGUGUCGUUCAUCUUUAGUAUAAUCAAUUGAAUUGUGAAAGUUUAUUUUAUAAGAUUCCAUUUGGUUCCAAUAGUUCAGAUUAAAGCAACAACAAGGACCCUACUAACAAUAGCUGGAAAACGUAGACAGUUCUUACAGGAACCAAUCACAGGUAUUCAUGCGUUUGAUAAAUUCUAAACUAGGAGUGGAAGUACUGAGUGCUGGGGACCGACUCCAGUCGCUAAACGCGAACAUUUACCUUUGAAGCAACAGGAGGAGCCAGACUGGUCAUGGCUAGAUUCCAUGCUGGAGUGCAUAAAGGCACGUAUUUUGUGAAAACCUUCAGGCAAAAAUCGUACUGAUUAUUCAAAAAUAAAUAUUUUAACAUUUCAUUGAGUUAUACAAUGAGUAAGAAAACUAUCGAAGGCUUCCUGCAGUUCAGAAAGAAUUCUGGUAGUGUAAAAAACACAGAGAAGCAAAGAACUAGAAGAAACUGAAGGACGCCCGCUGAGUAGUUAUUCACUUGUUAAUUUUCGAAAACGUACAUUUCCGUGCCCUUAUUUUAAAAAUGGCAAAAAUAAAUAUCAUCUUUCCUUGUCUUUAAAAAAUAAAAUAACUUCAGACUCUGGCUAUGCUUGCUAAAAAAUCAUUAUUCCUUUUCCAGGCGAUGUAUGCAAGAAAGGGCCAAUCUGAAAACAUAACUUAUGAGAAAAGUCGACGUAUAAGCCGCAAAGAAACCGGUUCACAGCCGAGCCCACAGCCCUGAGAGGUUCCCCCGCUUCCGAGAGCUUAUCCAGGAUAACUUCAUUUACUGGCAGAUCGGCGGCCACUUCCGGGACUCUUUACCGAGUGGGUCCUUCCACCGCUGAGCCUUCUGCGGGGCUGUCGGGUCGCCUGUGCGUGGCGGGGAGCCAGAUCCCUCGGCGCCCGCAGCGUAGCCGGGUCCCCGCGAGCCGAGCCACCCGGAACCCUGGGCCUGCCUGCAUCCCCGGGAGCGCAGACUCCUCAGGGCGUGUGGGGAGCCCGGCAGGAUACACUGCCCGCGCUGGGGGCCCCCAGUGUGCUCACACUGGUCUGGGUACGGGGCGGCGGUGCUGGGGCCUUGUUCCCCGGGGACCCCGAACCAUCUGGAAAGAGCUACAGGAUCACUGGAGGCUUCCUGUAUCUCCUGUGAAGUUGAUGGUGAAAUAUUCACUGAUUAGGAACACUGAUCUUUCUGAGAAACAUGAAAUGGGACAUCGAGGAAGACUUUGGAAAACUUUCUUCUGUACUUUGAUUUAAUGAGCAUGGAAAUUCCCCUUCCUAUGGAAAUGAAUAGGAAUAAUCAUUCCCUCCUCACAAAUAAAUGCAGUGAAAGAAUGAUUGAAAAAUAAAGAUUGUGUGAAUUCGAGGUGUGAAUGGUAGCCCUCUUGUGCUAAAUAACUUCGGUCAUGUCCAACUCUUUGCAACCCUAUGGACCGU